This 387-nucleotide long non-coding RNA is filed under the name Homo sapiens (human). RNAcentral describes it as "non-protein coding LINC01586:7". Lineage: Eukaryota; Metazoa; Chordata; Mammalia; Primates; Hominidae. The record is from RNAcentral.
CCGCGCUUCACAUCAAAUGUCCCCUGUGGCCAUGGCAACAGCUUUGGGGGAGGGGGUGCCGGUCCGCGGGCCAGCAGCGGGCAGCCUGCGACUCCUGCCAGGGUCCAGCGCUCCGCUGGGGUAGAGUCCGUCAUUAGUGCUGAAUCCAGUUGUGCCCGGACCAGAAGAGACACCAGAGCCAGUCCCGUCCCCUCCCCGGGCUGGUCAUAGCAGGCCCAACCCUGGACGGACACACAAAUAUCUGUGCUGCCCACAUCCAGCCAACACAGGCAGCAGGAUAUUUCCUCCUAGUCAGACUGGUGAGUUUUUAUUUUUCAUUUUCAUAUUUCAAAAUAUGCAGGUAUUUGAGAAACAUUUUAAAAAUCAUAUUUUUCAUUUAUCACUCAG